This 301-nucleotide ribosomal RNA is filed under the name uncultured bacterium. Its description in RNAcentral is "partial 16S ribosomal RNA". It matches the Rfam family "Bacterial small subunit ribosomal RNA", at positions 509 to 809 of the family's 1533-position model. The record is from RNAcentral.
CAGCAGCCGCGGUAAUGCGGAGGGAGCUAGCGUUGUUCGGAAUUACUGGGCGUAAAGCGCACGUAGGCGGCUAUUCAAGUCAGAGGUGAAAGCCCGGGGCUCAACCCCGGAACUGCCUUUGAAACUAGGUAGCUAGAAUCUUGGAGAGGUCAGUGGAAUUCCGAGUGUAGAGGUGAAAUUCGUAGAUAUUCGGAAGAACACCAGUGGCGAAGGCGACUGACUGGACAAGUAUUGACGCUGAGGUGCGAAAGCGUGGGGAGCAAACAGGAUUAGAUACCCCCGUAGUCCCUGUCUCUUAUAA